Molecule: ribosomal RNA, 254 nt
Filed under: uncultured bacterium
Lineage: Bacteria
Description: partial 16S ribosomal RNA
Rfam family: Bacterial small subunit ribosomal RNA
Source: RNAcentral
UACGUAGGGUGCGAGCGUUGUCCGGAAUUAUUGGGCGUAAAGAGCUCGUAGGCGGUGUGUCGCGUCGGCCGUGAAAACCUAGGGCUCAACUCUGGGCGUGCGGUCGAUACGGGCAUCACUUGAGUUCGGCAGGGGAGACUGGAAUUCCUGGUGUAGCGGUGAAAUGCGCAGAUAUCAGGAGGAACACCGGUGGCGAAGGCGGGUCUCUGGGCCGAUACUGACGCUGAGGAGCGAAAGCAUGGGUAGCGAACAGG